This 1399-nucleotide ribosomal RNA is filed under the name Bacillus altitudinis. RNAcentral describes it as "bacterial SSU rRNA". It matches the Rfam family "Bacterial small subunit ribosomal RNA", at positions 57 to 1428 of the family's 1533-position model. Lineage: Bacteria; Bacillati; Bacillota; Bacilli; Caryophanales; Bacillaceae. The record is from RNAcentral.
GCAAGUCGAGCGGACAGAAGGGAGCUUGCUCCCGGAUGUUAGCGGCGGACGGGUGAGUAACACGUGGGUAACCUGCCUGUAAGACUGGGAUAACUCCGGGAAACCGGAGCUAAUACCGGAUAGUUCCUUGAACCGCAUGGUUCAAGGAUGAAAGACGGUUUCGGCUGUCACUUACAGAUGGACCCGCGGCGCAUUAGCUAGUUGGUGAGGUAACGGCUCACCAAGGCGACGAUGCGUAGCCGACCUGAGAGGGUGAUCGGCCACACUGGGACUGAGACACGGCCCAGACUCCUACCGGGAGGCAGCCAGUAGGGAAUCUUCCGCAAUGGACGAAAGUUCUGACCGGAGCAACCGCCGCGUGAGUGAUGAAGGUUUUCGGAUCGUAAAGCUCUGUUGUUAGGGAAGAACAAGUGCCAAGAGUAACUGCUUGCACCUUGACGGUACCUAACCCAGAAAGCCAACGGCUAACUACGUGCCAGCAGCCCGCGGUAAUACGUAGGUGGCAAGCGUUGUCCGGAACUUAUUGGGCGUAAAAGGGCUCGCAGGCGGUUUCUUAAGUCUGAUGUGAAAGCCCCCGGCUCAACCGGGGAGGGUCAUUGGAAACUGGGAAACUUGAGUGCAGAAGAGGAGAGUGGAAUUCCCACGUGUAGCGGUGAAAUGCGUAGAGAUGUGGAGGAACACCAGUGGCGAAGGCGACUCUCUGGUCUGUAACUGACGCUGAGGAGCGAAAGCGUGGGGAGCGAACAGGAUUAGAUACCCUGGUAGUCCACGCCGUAAACGAUGAGUGCUAAGUGUUAGGGGGUUUCCGCCCCUUAGUGCUGCAGCUAACGCAUUAAGCACUCCGCCUGGGGAGUACGGUCGCAAGACUGAAACUCAAAGGAAUUGACGGGGGCCCGCACAAGCGGUGGAGCAUGUGGUUUAAUUCGAAGCAACGCGAAGAACCUUACCAGGUCUUGACAUCCUCUGACAACCCUAGAGAUAGGGCUUUCCCUUCGGGGACAGAGUGACAGGUGGUGCAUGGUUGUCGUCAGCUCGUGUCGUGAGAUGUUGGGUUAAGUCCCGCAACGAGCGCAACCCUUGAUCUUAGUUGCCAGCAUUCAGUUGGGCACUCUAAGGUGACUGCCGGUGACAAACCGGAGGAAGGUGGGGAUGACGUCAAAUCAUCACGCCCCUUAUGACCUGGGCUACACACGUGCUACAAUGGACAGAACAAAGGGCUGCGAGACCGCAAGGUUUAGCCAAUCCCACAAAUCUGUUCUCAGUUCGGAUCGCAGUCUGCAACUCGACUGCGUGAAGCUGGAAUCGCUAGUAAUCGCGGAUCAGCAUGCCGCGGUGAAUACGUUCCCGGGCCUUGUACACACCGCCCGUCACACCACGAGAGUCUGCAACACCCGAAGUC